CCUCAUCACCACCGCAAUGAGAUCUACAUCUUCGUUGGCACUUUUCUUAAUCGUUUCUUUGCUGUUUAGCGCCUAUGGCCUGCCCCUUGAAAACGAGAGCGACCAAUUGCUAAAGGAUUCUAGUGAUCGAGUACAAAGAGCUAUAGCUGAAAGGGAAUCCAUUUUCGAAGAUCCAGUUGUAAAACCAAUCAAAGACCGUUCGCUUGUUCCACGGAUCCCUCCAUGUGCUAGAUAUGGUUGUGGUAAGCGAACUGUGCACAUUGGUAGAGAAAGGGAACCAUACAGUUUCUUGGAAACCAAGAUUCGUCAAUUGCAGCGUAGAAGGGAAGGUGGCAUGAUCCCGCCGUGCGCACGAUAUGGCUGUGGAAAGCGGAAAUAGAACUUCUAAAUGAUAUUAACCCAGGAUAUUAUCUCAAAAGGGGAGACGAAUCCAAAGUCGGCGAGCUGAUAGAACUUUGCGGUCUCUAGGAUAUUGAACGUUUAAAAUUCUAAGAAGAAAUAGCGAAAUACUAUGUCAAUUCAUUAAAGUUAAUAAAAAUUGUAUCUGAUUGG
This is a long non-coding RNA of Pocillopora damicornis (cauliflower coral), 552 nucleotides long. The record is from RefSeq and is a predicted model, not a curated record. NCBI's taxonomy places the organism in Eukaryota, Metazoa, Cnidaria, Anthozoa, Scleractinia, Pocilloporidae.